Molecule: non-coding RNA, 29 nt
Filed under: Homo sapiens (human)
Lineage: Eukaryota; Metazoa; Chordata; Mammalia; Primates; Hominidae
Source: RNAcentral
GGGCAAACAAGGAGUCACGAAGUUGUGGG